RNAcentral lists this small RNA (290 nucleotides) under Arabidopsis thaliana (thale cress). RNAcentral describes it as "ATSL189390". The record is from RNAcentral. Lineage: Eukaryota; Viridiplantae; Streptophyta; Magnoliopsida; Brassicales; Brassicaceae.
AGCCAAAACUUCAUUGAUUAAGGCUUUGAAUGGGAGGGAAGCAGAAAAAAUACAUGUUUACCUUUGCAUAUAGUGCUCCUAUUAUCAAGACAUUAUUUCUGUAUUUUCCUUUUUGUUUUAAUAUUUAGAGUUAAGAUUUCUGUUAUUUAAAAACAGUUGAUCUAUGCAUGCAGUCCUUCUCUUACCAAGACAUCAUUCAUGUAUUUUUAUUUUUGUUUUAACAUAACAUUUUUGUUAUUUAAAAUCAGUUGACAUGUGCAUGUAGUGCUUAUGUUACCAAUACAUCAUUU